GUGGAUUAGAUACCCGGGUAGUCCACGCCGUAAACGAUGAGUGCUAGGUGUCGGGGGUCAAACCUCGGUGCCGCAGCUAACGCAUUAAGCACUCCGCCUGGGGAGUACGCUCGCAAGAGUAAAACUCAAAGGAAUUGACGGGGACCCGCACAAGCAGCGGAGCAUGUGGUUUAAUUCGAAGCAACGCGAAGAACCUUACCUGGACUUGACAUCCCUUUGACCGCUUCGUAACGGAAGCUUUCUCUUCGGAGACAAAGGUGACAGGUGGUGCAUGGCCGUCGUCAACU
RNAcentral lists this ribosomal RNA (287 nucleotides) under uncultured bacterium. RNAcentral's name for it is "partial 16S ribosomal RNA". It matches the Rfam family "Bacterial small subunit ribosomal RNA", at positions 773 to 1060 of the family's 1533-position model. The record is from RNAcentral.